Molecule: ribosomal RNA, 253 nt
Filed under: uncultured bacterium
Lineage: Bacteria
Description: partial 16S ribosomal RNA
Rfam family: Bacterial small subunit ribosomal RNA
Source: RNAcentral
UACGUAGGGGGCUAGCGUUGUCCGGAAUCAUUGGGCGUAAAGCGCGUGUAGGCGGCCCGGUAAGUCCGCUGUGAAAGUCGGGGGCUCAACCCUCGAAUGCCGGUGGAUACUGUCGGGCUAGAGUGCGGAAGAGGCGAGUGGAAUUCCUGGUGUAGCGGUGAAAUGCGCAGAUAUCAGGAGGAACACCAAUGGCGAAGGCAGCUCGCUGGAACGGAACUGACGCUGAGGCGCGAAAGCGUGGGGAGCGAACAGG